AUUGAACGCUGGCGGCAGGCCUAACACAUGCAAGUCGAACGGUAACAGGGAUCAGCUUGCUGAUUCGCUGACGAGUGGCGGACGGGUGAGUAAUGUCUGGGAAACUGCCUGAUGGAGGGGGAUAACUACUGGAAACGGUAGCUAAUACCGCAUAACGUCGCAAGACCAAAGAGGGGGACCUUCGGGCCUCUUGCCAUCGGAUGUGCCCAGAUGGGAUUAGCUAGUAGGUGGGGUAACGGCUCACCUAGGCGACGAUCCCUAGCUGGUCUGAGAGGAUGACCAGCCACACUGGAACUGAGACACGGUCCAGACUCCUACGGGAGGCAGCAGUGGGGAAUAUUGCACGAUGGGCGCAAGCCUGAUGCAGCCAUGCCGCGUGUAUGAAGAAGGCCUUCGGGUUGUAAAGUACUUUCAGCGGGGAGGAAGGGAGUAAAGUUAAUACCUUUGCUCAUUGACGUUACCCGCAGAAGAAGCACCGGCUAACUCCGUG
RNAcentral lists this ribosomal RNA (490 nucleotides) under uncultured bacterium. Its description in RNAcentral is "partial 16S ribosomal RNA". It matches the Rfam family "Bacterial small subunit ribosomal RNA", at positions 30 to 507 of the family's 1533-position model. The record is from RNAcentral.